UACGAAGGGUGCAAGCGUUACUCGGAAUUACUGGGCGUAAAGCGUGCGUAGGUGGUUUGUUAAGUCUGCUGUGAAAUCCCCGGGCUCAACCUGGGAAUGGCAGUGGAUACUGGCAAGCUAGAGUGUGUCAGAGGAUGGUGGAAUUCCCGGUGUAGCGGUGAAAUGCGUAGAGAUCGGGAGGAACAUCAGUGGCGAAGGCGGCCAUCUGGGACAACACUGACGCUGAGGCACGAAAGCGUGGGGAGCAAACAGGG
Molecule: ribosomal RNA, 254 nt
Filed under: uncultured bacterium
Lineage: Bacteria
Description: partial 16S ribosomal RNA
Rfam family: Bacterial small subunit ribosomal RNA
Source: RNAcentral